Molecule: long non-coding RNA, 1713 nt
Filed under: Serinus canaria (Common canary)
Lineage: Eukaryota; Metazoa; Chordata; Aves; Passeriformes; Fringillidae
Description: lncRNA (ENSSCAG00000005324.1)
Source: RNAcentral
CAUCAUUAUCAUCGUCCUUGGUAUUAUCCUCACCAUCCUCAUCAUCCUCAUCGUCAUCAUCGUCCUCGGUGUUAUCUUCACCAUCCUCGUUGUCAUCAUCGUCCUCGGUGUCAUUGUCACCAUCCUCAUCAUCCUCAUCGUCAUCAUCGUCCUCGGUGUUAUCAUCACCAUCCUCAUCAUCCUCAUUGUCCUCAUUGUUCUUGGCGGCAUCAUCAUCAUCCUCAUCAUCCUCAUCAUCUUCAUCAUCCUCAUCAUCCUCGGUGUCAUUGUCACCAUCCUCAUCACCUUCAUCAUCCUCAUCAUCCUCAUCGUCCUCAUUGUCCUCAUCGUUCUUGGUGUCAUUGUCACCAUCGUCACCAUCCUCGUCGUCAUCAUCGUUCUCAUCCUCAUCAUCCUCAUCGUCCUCGGUGUCAUUGUCACCGUCCUUGUUGUCCUCAUCACCCUCAUCAUCCUCAUCAUCCUCAUCGUUCUUGGUGGCAUCAUCAUCAUCGUCAUCAUCCUCGUCGUCCUCAUCAUCCUCAUCAUUCUCGGUGUCAUUGUCACCAUCCUCAUCAUCCUCAUUGUCUUUAGUGUCAUUGUCACCAUCCUCAUCACCUUCAUUAUCUUUGGUGUCGUUGUCACCAUCCUCACCAUCCUCAUCAUCCUCAUCCUCAUCAUCCUCAUUGUUCUUAGUGUCAUUCUCAUCAUCCUCAUCAUCCUCAGUGUCAUCAUCACCAUCCUCAUCAUCCUCAUCGUCCCCAGUGUCAUUGUCACCGUCCUCAUCAUCUUCAGUAUCGUUGUCACCAUUCUCAUCAUCCUCAUCAUCUUCAUCAUCUUCAGUGUCAUUGUCACCAUCCUCAUUGUCCUCAGUGUCACUGUCACCAUCCUCGUCUUCAUCUUGCUUAUUCUGUGUCCUCAUUCUCAUCAUCCUCAUCAUCUUCAUCGUCGUCAGUGUCACUGUCACCUUCCUCAUCUUCAUCAUCGUCAUCGUCCUCAGCAUCAUUGUCACCAUCCUCAUCCUCAGUGCCCUUAUCAUGGCCAUUCUCAUCAUCUUCGGUGUCAUUGUCACCAUCCUCAUCCUCAUCUCCCUUAUUCUCAUUGUUCCUAUCAUGGCCAUCCUCAUCAUCCUCCUCCUCAGCGUCAUCGUCACCAUCCUCAUCCUCUUCUUCACCCUCCUCAUUGUGGCCAUCUUCAUCCUCAUCAUCCUCGGUGCCAUUGUCACCAUCCUCAUCCUCAUUUUGCUUAUCCUGUGCCCUCAUCGUGGCCAUCUUCAUCCUCGUCAUCAUCCUCGGCCUCACCAUCCUCACCCUCGCCGCUCUCAGUGUCAUUGUCACCAUCCUCAUCCUCACCCUCCUCAUCCUCUUCUUUCUCAACGUUCUCGUUCCCUCGCCGUCUUCAUCAUUCUCAUCCUCACCAUCCUCAUCUUCAUCCUCCUGAACCUCAGCCUCACCAUCCUCAUCCUCACCAGGCUGCGUUCUCCUGGUCACCAUCCCUGUCCUCGUCCUCACGCUCCUCCCUCUUCUUCCUCACCAUCCUUGGCGUCUUCACCCUCCUCAUCCUCACUCUCCUCCUCAGCCUCUCCAUCCUCAUCCUCACCCUUCUGAUCUUCAGCCUCAUCCCCACCAUCCUCAUCCUCCUCGUAUUUAUUCUCAUCAUCACCUCCUCCUCAUUCCCACCAUCCUCAUCCUCGCCCUCCCCAGCCNNNNNNNNNNNNNNNNNNNNNNNNNNNNNNNN